CGUAGGGUGCGAGCGUUAAUCGGAAUUACUGGGCGUAAAGCGUGCGCAGGCGGUUUGUUAAGAUAGGCGUGAAAUCCCCGGGCUCAACCUGGGAACUGCGCUUAUGACUGGCAAGCUAGAGUACGGCAGAGGGGGGUGGAAUUCCACGUGUAGCAGUGAAAUGCGUAGAGAUGUGGAGGAACACCAAUGGCGAAGGCAGCCCCCUGGGUCGAUACUGACGCUCAUGCACGAAAGCGUGGGUAGCAAACAGGAUUAGAUACCCUGGUAGUCCACGCCCUAAACGAUGUCAACUAGGUGUUGGAUGGGUAAAACCAUUUAGUGCCGGAGCUAACGCGUGAAGUUGACCGCCUGGGGAGUACGGCCGCAAGGUUA
Molecule: ribosomal RNA, 372 nt
Filed under: uncultured organism
Description: bacterial SSU rRNA
Rfam family: Bacterial small subunit ribosomal RNA
Source: RNAcentral